This 810-nucleotide ribosomal RNA is filed under the name Myxilla ancorata. Its description in RNAcentral is "eukaryotic LSU rRNA". It matches the Rfam family "Eukaryotic large subunit ribosomal RNA", at positions 34 to 655 of the family's 3401-position model. Lineage: Eukaryota; Metazoa; Porifera; Demospongiae; Poecilosclerida; Myxillidae. The record is from RNAcentral.
UUAAGCAUAUCAAUAAGCGGAGGAAGAGAAACUAACCAGGAUUCCCCCAGUAACGGCGAGCGAAGAGGGAAGAGCUCGAGCCUGAAAUCCCCGGCGCCUGGCGCCGGAGAAUUGUGGCCGGGAGAGGCAGCCGUGCCCGGGCUGGCGCUGUCGAAGUUGACCUGGAAAGGCACGUCAGAGAGGGUGAGAGCCCCGUGUGCGACACCGCCGGGCCGGGCUGCUACUGUCUUCGGAGAGUCGGGUUGUUUGGGAUUGCAGCCCAAAGUGGGUGGUAAACUCCAUCUAAAGCUAAAUACUGGCACGAGACCGAUAGCGAACAAGUACCGUGAGGGAAAGGUGAAAAGUACUUUGAAAAGAGAGUCAAAAAGACCGCGAAACCGUUAGGAGGGAAACGAAUGCGGCUGAAGUGGCUCCCCGUCAGGCUCAGGAGGCGUCGUCGGGUCUCUCGGAUGGCGAUUGAUUUCGCGUCUGCGAGGCGCCCGGCGACUGCUCUGCACUUCUGCGGGGGGCCGGCCAACGUCAGUUGCCCCCGGCCCAAGAGGGCGUCGUGGGUAGGUGCCUCUGUGCUUGCGCAGAGAACUUAUAGCCCGGCGUCACUGGCGCUCCGGGGCGCGACUGAGGAGAGUUGAUGCGAGUCUUUCGCACGUUGCGGCGCAGGCCUCUCGGGGCUGGGCCCCCGUCCGUCGGUGGGAGGCCGAGACGUUCACUGCGUGCAGUGGACGCCGACGGUGUCUUCUCGCUGGCGGGUGGGUCGGUCGCACCUUGCGCCGCAGUCGUUGGUGUCCGGAUGGCCGCAUCCGAACCCGUCUU